GAACGCACCUUGCGCCCUUUGGCUAUUCUGAAGGGCAUGCCUGUUUGAGUAUCAUGAACACCUCAACUCUCAUGGUCCGCCAUGAUGAGCUUGGACUAUGGGGGUCUUGCCGGCCUAGCGUCGGCUCCUCUCAAAUGGAUCAGCUUCCCAGUGUUUGGUGGCGUCACAGGUGUGAUAACUAUCUACGCUUGUGGUUUUCCACCAUUAACCUUCAGCAAUGGAGGUUCGCUGGAGCUUACAGAUGUCUUUCCUUGGGGAGGACAGCUUCUUGAAUGUCUGAUCUCAAAUCAGGUAGGACUACCCGCUGAACUUA
RNAcentral lists this unclassified non-coding RNA (313 nucleotides) under uncultured Tomentella. RNAcentral describes it as "sequence contains 5.8S rRNA gene". Lineage: Eukaryota; Fungi; Basidiomycota; Agaricomycetes; Thelephorales; Thelephoraceae. The record is from RNAcentral.